Molecule: long non-coding RNA, 261 nt
Filed under: Sorghum bicolor (sorghum)
Lineage: Eukaryota; Viridiplantae; Streptophyta; Magnoliopsida; Poales; Poaceae
Description: long non-coding RNA (SBIC_LNC005382)
Source: RNAcentral
AGUAGAAGCAACAUGUAUGAGUGAACGUGCAAGUGAAUCUUGAUUUAACCACAUGACAAGCUCCUAAGGGUCUACACAGCUUGACCACACUCAAUGCUCAUAAGCAGUAAGUAAAUGUGUGGCUCAAAGUCUAGCAAGCAUGUAUAUAUAGCUGUGGUAGGAAUUUAAACUCUCAUCAUACAUGAACUCAUCAUGCAAUAUUUUAAAGAUUUUUCAAAGAUAAAAUUCUCCAGAAUUCUAGCAUCUCUAGGAACAGAUAAA